Molecule: ribosomal RNA, 163 nt
Filed under: Hordeum vulgare
Lineage: Eukaryota; Viridiplantae; Streptophyta; Magnoliopsida; Poales; Poaceae
Rfam family: 5.8S ribosomal RNA
About the family: 5.8S ribosomal RNA (5.8S rRNA) is a component of the large subunit of the eukaryotic ribosome. It is transcribed by RNA polymerase I as part of the 45S precursor that also contains 18S and 28S rRNA.
Source: RNAcentral
ACACGACUCUCGGCAACGGAUAUCUCGGCUCUCGCAUCGAUGAAGAACGUAGCGAAAUGCGAUACCUGGUGUGAAUUGCAGAAUCCCGCGAACCAUCGAGUCUUUGAACGCAAGUUGCGCCCGAGGCCACUCGGCCGAGGGCAWGCCUGCCUGGGCGUCACGC